AAAUAUAUUUUUUUCCACAACCGGCCUUUUUCUAUAUUAAGAUUUCGUUUGAAAUUGCGUUACGUGUGAUGAUGAAAAAAUACGAUAAAAACAUAUUUUAUUUAUUUUAAUUUGUAAUAUUGAAUUUCGCACAUUGCGAUGAAUCGGUUGCAAUAUAUUUUCUUCGGUCCAGUCGGAGAACGCAAAAAUAUAUUUCUACAUGCUUUUAUUCUAACACCAUUUUAUCUAAUAGCGUCUGUUAAGCUUCAAUACCAAACUAAGCCUAAGCAUUGAAAAAACGAAAAACAUCACUUUUCAAAAUAAUUAUUUUUAAAAAUAUUUAAAUGAACGAAAAUUUAUUUUUUCAAUCAAAAGAUUCCAAAUACUAUUUUCUAA
This 375-nucleotide long non-coding RNA is filed under the name Ananas comosus (pineapple). RNAcentral's name for it is "long non-coding RNA (ACOM_LNC025430)". Lineage: Eukaryota; Viridiplantae; Streptophyta; Magnoliopsida; Poales; Bromeliaceae. The record is from RNAcentral.